GGAGAUGAAGUUAAUUUUAAUAUAGGAUUGUCAUUCUUAAGAUGUUGUUUCUCAACCUUCUCUU
This 64-nucleotide transfer RNA is filed under the name Xylophaga dorsalis. Its description in RNAcentral is "tRNA-Asp". The record is from RNAcentral. Lineage: Eukaryota; Metazoa; Mollusca; Bivalvia; Myida; Xylophagaidae.